UGAUUUCAGAAUCCAUGUAAGACUGCAAAACCAACAGAGAAAUGUCAACUAACUAGAUAUUUGUCAAAUGCAAUGCUGGAAUACUGGAAAAUAGGCAUCAAAAUUUUCAUGAAAACAUCACGAUACAAAUUACAUCACAGAUACUCCUCUUUUUUUCUUUUUUGGUAAACAGUACAGAUACUCCUUUAUAUGGCCUAUCCUAGUCUCAUAUACUUGGCCUGGCAGUGGUUUUCAAAUACAAGACUAAAACCCGAACCCACAAACUUCAGACCAAGCCAAACUUAUUGACUGGAAUCACUGUCAAAUACAGCUAAUCAUAUGCAGCUCUAACAACAGGUUACAGGCAUAACUAUUUAUCCAGCAUUCAUUACAAGGUCUUUCUUAUUUGGAACUUCAUUAUAAGUCUACUAUAGAUGCAUAACUAAUAAUUUCCAGCUGUGUCAGCAUUGAAAGAAAAUGCUAAAAUACUACUAAUAGUAAGAAUACCAUGACAUAGUUAGGUUACAUGAAAAAUUGUCUUCUAAGGGAAAUCUGGACUCUGGAGACAGUCUUGUCAUCCAA
Molecule: unclassified non-coding RNA, 561 nt
Filed under: Hevea brasiliensis (rubber tree)
Lineage: Eukaryota; Viridiplantae; Streptophyta; Magnoliopsida; Malpighiales; Euphorbiaceae
Source: RNAcentral